Molecule: long non-coding RNA, 655 nt
Organism: Zingiber officinale
Lineage: Eukaryota; Viridiplantae; Streptophyta; Magnoliopsida; Zingiberales; Zingiberaceae
Exons: 3
Source: RefSeq, a predicted model, not a curated record
ACCCGAGCCUUCCUCCUCUCUUCCCCGAUCUCCCCUCUUCGCCUUCUCUGUUCUCUCUCGCGGACGGGCAACGGCGACGGGAGCAAGGCUCCUGCUCCGACGAUCCUUCUCCGUCGGCAUCGACGCCUAUUGAUCUCAGAUCCGGCCGGCGCUCUUCCUCUCCGGGUCGCAGACACGGCGUCGUGUCUCCUCUAGCCGAUAGCCGACGCCAUUGGAUCAAUCGCUGGCGUGGAAGAUGCCUUAGGGCUUCGAGGAUUGGUUCUCCUCUUCUUGCUGCUGAUUGGGGAAUUCGGUUGAAGAGGUUGAGAUCAGUGAGGUGUUCUUGCGUUGUCGGGCAGAGGCUAGCAGGAUUGUUGCUGGAUUAGUCAUCUUCUUGCUUGACCUCCUGUUGUGAUCCGACUGAUUUCCAGUGAGGUUCUGAUCCGAUCAGUGAGGUGAGUUUUGGUUACUAUGAUGUUCUGGUGUUGUGUUCUUUGAGCCAGUAGGAUUGUGUUCUGUGAAUUCAUCAGUGAGGGGCUGUUGAGGUGAGGAUCUAUUCUAGUGGUGUUUCCUUGCCAGCAACACACAAAACCAGCAUCAACAGUAGCUUGAUUGAGGACUCUGAUUCGAGACGGGCGUCUCGACUUCGGAUUUGGAUUGUACCUUCUAUUUGAGG